AGCGAUGUUUGUUGCAAUUAGCAUCUGUUUGAGAAUUGGUCGCCAACUGUGAUUCAGUUUUAAAAGUAUGUUGAAUUUCCUUGUUAACAUUUAUCCACUCACAGAAUUGGCCUUGAAAUGAGUGUCAGAGUGUGUCAAGUGUGUGUAAUUUAAAUGUUCUCUAGUCACAUUUCAAAGCGAGCUCUAGAGUAAUACAACCCAAACCCAACAUAAAUGUGAAACAAAAAUUCAACUUUGAAAAAUGGAUAUUUUCGUUUAUUCUGUUUGUGUGAGCGUCUUUGCAGUUUUUCUUUUGCUUGUGCUGAGCUAUAAGUUCUUCGAACAGAAGAAAAAGAAGGAGGAGGAAAUUAAGCCAAUUUUUUUUAAUAUUUGGGAUGAAGCUCGCAAUUUUGUUGUAUACAAGGGAUUUACUUACGAAGUGACCGAAGGAGCAGCAUCAAGUGAAUGAAGCAUUGAAAAAUCAGCUGAAUGCAGAAUUCAUGCCACAAACUUAAUUAGUUUCUUGUUCACAUUUCUGGAAUGUAUAUAUACUCUAAUUUUUUCAUAGUAUUUUUUUUUAUAAUUUUACAAUGGUAUGGAAAAAUGUAUGUUAGGUAUACUAUUCGUAGUAGAAAUCUGCAUCUUUGAAAUUCUAAAAUAAAUGAUAAUGACGUUAAAUAUCUUCAGCUUUAUUUGCAAUCAUUUAGAAUUACUUUAAUAUAUUUUCUAUCUAUAAUCCGAGCGCUAAAGAUAUCAAAUCUGCAGUCAGUAAAAUACUUUCGAUUUAUAGGAUAUAAAUCGAUGUUUGUUGCAAUUAGCAUCUGUUUGGAAAUUGGUCGCCAUCUGUGAUUCAACUUUAAAAGUAUGUUGAAUUUGCUUGUUAACAUUUAUUCACUCACAGAAUUGGCCUUGAAAUGAGUGUCAAGAGUGUGUCAAGUGUGUGUAACUUAAAUGUUUUUUAGUCACAAUUCAAAGUGAGCUCUAGAGUAGUACAACCAAAAAUAAAUGUGAUACAAAAAUUCAACUUUGAAAAAUGGAUUUGUUCGUUUAUUCUGUUUGUAAGAAAAAGAAGGAGGAGGAAAUGCAGCCAAUUUGUUUAAAUAUAUGGGACGACAAGAAAACUAAAGCUCGAAAAUUAGUUGUAAUCGAGGGAUUUAUUUACGAUGUGACCGAAGAAGCAGCAACAAGUGAAUGAAGCAUUGAGAAAACAGCUGAAUACAGAAUUGAUGCCACAAACUUAAUUAGUUCACAUUUCUGGAAUGUAUAUAUACUCUAAUUUUUUCAUAGUAUUUGUUUUUUUUAUAAUUUUACAAUGGUAUGUAAAAAAAAUUUAUGUUAAGUAAACUAUUCGAAAAGUAGAAA
Molecule: long non-coding RNA, 1341 nt
Organism: Drosophila nasuta
Lineage: Eukaryota; Metazoa; Arthropoda; Insecta; Diptera; Drosophilidae
Exons: 2
Source: RefSeq, a predicted model, not a curated record